RNAcentral lists this unclassified non-coding RNA (342 nucleotides) under soil metagenome. Its description in RNAcentral is "partial contains 5.8S ribosomal RNA, internal transcribed spacer 2, and large subunit ribosomal RNA". The stretch from base 1 to 120 matches the Rfam family "5.8S ribosomal RNA", at positions 35 to 154 of the family's 154-position model. The record is from RNAcentral.
GAUGAAGAACGUAGCGAAAUGCGAUAAGUAAUGUGAAUUGCAGAAUUCAGUGAAUCAUCGAAUCUUUGAACGCACAUUGCGCCCGCCAGCACUCUGGCGGGCAUGCCUGUUCGAGCGUCAUUUCAACCAUCAAGCCCCCAGGGGCUUGUGCUGGGGCCCUGCGGCUGCCCGCAGGCCCUGAAAACCAGUGGCGGGCUCGCUAGUCACACCGAGCGCAGUAGCACAUCUCGCUCAGGGCGUGCGGCGGGCUCCUGCCGUGAAACCCCCCACUGUAACCCCAAAGGUUGACCUCGGAUCAGGUAGGAAUACCCGCUGAACUUUAGCAUAUCAAUAAGCGGAGGA